CUACGGGAGGCAGCAGUGGGGAAUAUUGCACAAUGGGCGAAAGCCUGAUCCAGCCAUGCCGCGUGAGUGAUGAAGGCCUUAGGGUUGUAAAACUCUUUCGCCGGAGAAGAUAAUGACGGUAUCCGGAGAAGAAGCCCCGGCUAACUUCGUGCCAGCAGCCGCGGUAAUACGAAGGGGGCUAGCGUUGUUCGGAAUUACUGGGCGUAAAGCGCACGUAGGCGGAUUUGUAAGUAGGGGGUGAAAUCCCAAGGCUCAACCCUGGAACUGCCUUCUAGACUGCAAGUCUGGAGAUCAGGAGAGGCGAGUGGAAUACCGAGUGUAGAGGUGAAAUUCGUAGAUAUUCGGAGGAACACCAGUGGCGAAGGCGGCUCACUGGUCCGGUACUGACGCUGAGGUGCGAAAGCGUGGGGAGCAAACAGGAUUAGAUACCCGUGUAGUCC
Molecule: ribosomal RNA, 440 nt
Filed under: uncultured bacterium
Lineage: Bacteria
Description: bacterial SSU rRNA
Rfam family: Bacterial small subunit ribosomal RNA
Source: RNAcentral